RNAcentral lists this long non-coding RNA (4492 nucleotides) under Brassica napus (rape). RNAcentral's name for it is "long non-coding RNA (BNAP_LNC011489)". Lineage: Eukaryota; Viridiplantae; Streptophyta; Magnoliopsida; Brassicales; Brassicaceae. The record is from RNAcentral.
CUUAGGAUCAGCUAAAGUCAAGCUUGAGGGGGAGUGUUAACUUGAAGAAAAGAAAUGGAGAAGGCAAAGGUGUGGAGUUGAGAUGUGGCUUGUACAAAGAUAGGGCAAGAGCUAUGGAGAAUGCCUAUCAAGAGUUAUGAAGUAUCUGAAGGUGUAGAGAAGUGAUCUGAUGGAUGUUCUAAGCAAGGGUAAAGUCUAGGAGAGACUUAGAAGAGUGUUGAGAAGCAAAUGGGCGAGUGUGCAAAGAUAGGGCGAGGCUGUACGGCCAUGUACGGAUCAGUACGGACGGUGGGGGAUUUCCCCUCUCCACUUCAUAAUGAAAUGUGUUCUUGAAUCAGAUUCCCUUUAAUCUCUCCCUUUCUUAUAAUCUUAAUCUCUCAAAGUCUCUUGUUUCUGAUUUAAGUAAACACAUAAACACUCCUAUAAACCCUCUCUCUAAAAUCACCUAAAACAAACUCUAAUCUUGUCAGCUUGCUCCAAUGGAGCUUAUACACACACACAACCUGAGAUCUCUGAAAAUCUCACAUGGUAUCAGAUCCAGGUUCAUCUGAAUCUGGUUGAAGCUUCCGCAAACCUCAGAGCUCACUACCAUGUCCAUUUCAACCAAGAAGAAGCUGUCUGUUCUAUCCGGCUGUUCAACACCUCAAGAGGCAGGCGUGUUCAUCCUGGAGUCCAGAAGCUGUCUGUUGCUGUUCCUCAUCAUCCCAUGUCGCCCUUGAAGAAAGAAGAUCCAAGGAAACAAAGGCAAUGGAGCGGAUUAGCUACCCUCUCUAACAAAGCCAGUUCCGGGUUCUUGCUAUUCAAAGUCCAAGAUGAAGCUUCUCAAGAAGAAAGCUUGCUGCUUGUACUGGUGUGGCGUGUAAAACAUGGAGAAAGGUGGGAGCUAAGACAUGGUGGUUCAAAAGGAAAGGUCCAUGGAAGAUGGAGGCGUUGGAGUGCACACUAACAACUCAGAAUCUGUCCAAUGGAAUCAAGGAUCUAUACAAAGGUCCUUGGCUGUAAGAAAGUUCUUUCCUUUUGUAUAAAGCUUGAGUAUAUUGACAGGUUGUGUUGUGGUGUUGUGAUUGAAAAAAAAACCUGAGGAUGUGUUAAGAUUGCUAAAUAAAUAAUUGUUUAGAAUCUGUCCCAGGAUGCUUAUUGAGUUGUGUUUGGUGACUGAGAGUUGUUGCUUGCAUACUGGUUCAUAAUGAUUGUCUUUUAGGAUGAUAGUAGUAAUAUCUAAACCUGAUUGCUUUCAUGAAAUGAAACCAAGUUUAAAUGUGAAGCGUUGAGUGUUGUUGCUGCCUUGUAUUGAUGCAUUGGAUUCAUGUCUAAGUUGCAGAUUAAGGAGCAUUAAAAUUGCCUAAGUAGCUUGUCUUGAAUCUUGAAGGGAUCUUGCUUGUGCUUAGAGAGUCUGCUUGCAAAGAUUAGAACUUGAAAAUGUCUAGUUUAAUCUGUUGAAUUGCUUAAAGACAUUGGUGUUCAAACUUGAUGAUGCAUCAAGGGUUGACCCAAUGCACUUGUGUCUUAUCUUUGCUGGAGUUUGAGUGAUGUUUCAGGUUCACAAGAGGUGUUCUUGUUUCACCAUCCAUCCGAGUUGAAAGAGGAAGACUUUGCCCAUUGUGUGGAGCAAUGGAGAGUUGAUAAAGAAGUGGUGAUGCGCCACUGGUGUGUAGUUUCACUGAAGCUCACUUGCAAGCUUGGACCUAUACUCAAUCCAAGCUUGAGGAGGGGAGUUUAGUGAGCUAUCAGUCGGACCAAGAAGGUCCAGAAGGUCCAUUGCAAGCAACUGAAGAAGAAGGAGCCAUCCGGGUCUAGGCAGUGGCGUGUCUAGGCAAGAGAGUGUUCAGAGCACUCUUGGCUGUGAGAAGAUGAAGACUCUACCAGUGCGGCUUCUAGUGUGAGGUGACUGAAGAGGUAGCUGAAGCUUCCACAAGCACUCCAUGAAGAUGGCGAGUUCAGAAGGUGUUGCAAUGGAGUAAUGGUGCAGAUCAUGAAGCUAUCCAUCCAAGCUUGUUCCUGUGAGAGUCUCAAGCUUUAGGGGGAGUGUUGAAGCUUACAUGAUCUGAGAGUACUUGGUGGUUAUUCAAGAAGAGGAACAGAUCAGUUAUGAAGCAUAAUGAAGGAUGAAGAAGCAAUCACCAAUGCGGCCUCUAAAGUGAGGUGAUUGGUACUACAGUCUGAAGCAUCCUGUCAUGAAGGUUUCAGUAACAUGGUGGUGACUCAUGAAGAAGAAGAAGCCAAGACUCAGCUUGUAUCUAUCAAGGAAGAUCUGGUAGUCCGAGCACUUGAUCACAACAAGAAGGUUGUGAGAAAGGGGGAGAGACCAAGAUCUGUCUAAAGAAGAGUACAAGAAGUGUUGAUGAUGAGCAAGAGGAGUGGGUUCUAUCUUGCAUCAAAUGAGGGCCAUGAUCCAGAGUCUUUGUGUCCCUUACAUUGCUGGUAAGGCACAAAGACUCACUGGCCAAUCCCUAGGCCUUGAAGGCUUUACUCUUUUUCCCUCAUCAAGGUUUUGUCCCAAAUGGUUUUCCUUGGUGAGGUUUUUAAUGAGGAAGUUCUUCAAGGUUCCAAGCUUGACUUAGGAUCAGCUAAAGUCAAGCUUGAGGGGGAGUGUUGACUUGAAGAAAAGAAAUGGAGUGGUGAAGUGUUGAGUUGAGAUUGAGUCUUGAGCAAGAAUAGGGCAAGACCUCCGGAGAUUAUCUAUGAAGACUUUAGGAGUGUUUGAAGGUGUCCAGAAGUGCUCAUAUGGCUGUGCAAAGAUAAGGCCAAGUCCAGGAGGGACUUAGAAGAGUGUUUGGGAGCAAAUGGGCAAGUGUGCAUACUUAGGGCGAGGCUGUACGGAUGGUACGGACCUGUACGGAUCCGUACGGACCGAGACAACCCGGGGAUACACAACUUGGCCAUUUGAGAUGUUUUGAGAUUGUGCAAAGUCCGGGACAAGAUGUGCAAAGUUAGGGCGUGAUCAGAACAUGUCAUGGAGGCUUUGUGCACACUUAGGGCUGAGUAAAAGGAGUCUGGUCGUGGAGCAUCAAAAGGGAAUCAAGGAGAUCCCUUGUGAAGGCAGGCGGCCAAUGAGAGCUGAGAUGGAGCUGAUUGGCUACUUUGGAGUAUGGACAGGCUGGCUGUAGCUGUAAAGUGAAAGACAGCCUUUACCAUGAACCUGAUCUGAAUAAGGGCUGGAUACAUGGGAGCCUAUAAGGAGCCAAUGGGAGAACAGCCUUCCCUUUGACCAGUUUGAAUAAACCAAUCAGAUAUCAACUAGCUCUCCUCCAAUCAAGACAGAUCACACAGAUUGCAAGACCAACUUUCCAUCCUAGCCAUCCAUUCAUUACAAGUUAAUAUUAUCCAUUAGAUUUAGGUUUCAGAUUGCCAUGAACCGCAAGUACAUGUCUUCAAGGCUUUGAUUUGAGCUGAGGUGAGAGCAAGUGAUUUGCGGAAGCUACAGCUCAGGUUCUGAUGAACCUGGCUCUGAUACCAUGUGAGAUUUAUAGAGUUCUCUUCUCUGGUUGUGUUUGUGUGUGUAUAAACUCCAAUGGAGAAAGAUUAGAGCUUACUCUAGGUGAUUUAGAAAGAGAUUGAUAAGAGUGUUUAUGAGAGAAUAAGAGACUUAGAACCAGAGAUUAAGAGACUGAGAGAUUAAGAGAAUAAGUGUUUAGAGAUUAGAGUUUCAGAUUCAAGAACUAGUUUUCAUUUCCAUGAAGUGGAGAGGGGAAAUCCCCCUUACUCCCUUAACCUUUACAAAUCGCCAACCUUAGGCUUAUAUAUGCCUUUACAAGAGUAAAUCAUAAACCUAAAUCUAAUGGCUGAUAAUACUUGAAGUUUAAAUGGAUGGUGUAGAUGAGCUGGUCUUGUUUGUCAUGAGGAGAAGGUGAUCUGAUUGAAAAGAAGAGGCUGGCGCCUCAUUGGCUCAUUCAAACUAGGCUGGCUCUUGAUUGGUUCUUCUUUGGCUCCUUUGUAUCAAGCUUGGAAUCAGUCUAGGUUCAUAGUCAAGGCUGCCUUUACUUUACAGCCAAGGCCAGCCUGUCUUGAACCUUAUCCACGCCCAAAGCUCCUCCAAGGGAUCUCCACUUGAUUCCCUUUUGAUGCCAUCUGAUCAGAACCUUAUCCAUUCGCCCAACACCUUUUCUUUAUGUCCCAAGCUUUGCACAACACCAUCAGGAGGUGUACGGAUCAAUCCCUAUCCGUACCCUUGCGCCCUAACUUUGCACAAAGCUUAAAACACCCAAAUGGUCGAGUCUGCACUUCUAGGGUAGUCCACCGUCCGUACUGAUCCGUACAUGGCCGUACAGCCUCGCCCUAUCUUUGCACACUCGCCCAUUUGCUUCUCAACACUCUUCUAAGUCUCUCCUAGACUUUACCCUUGCUUAGAACAUCCAUCAGAUCACUUCUCUACACCUUCAGAUACUUCAUAACUCUUGAUAGGCAUUCUCCAUAGCUCUUGCCCUAUCUUUGUACAAGCCACAUCUCAACUCCACACCUUUGCCUUCUCCAUUUCUUUUCUUCAAGUUAACAC